Molecule: ribosomal RNA, 496 nt
Filed under: uncultured bacterium
Lineage: Bacteria
Description: partial 16S ribosomal RNA
Rfam family: Bacterial small subunit ribosomal RNA
Source: RNAcentral
AUGAACGCUGGCGGCGUGCCCAAUACAUGCAAGUCGAGCGAACAGAUAAGGAGCUUGCUCCUUUGACGUUAGCGGCGGACGGGUGAGUAACACGUGGGUAACCUACCUAUAAGACUGGGAUAACUUCGGGAAACCGGAGCUAAUACCGGAUAACAUUUGGAACCGCAUGGUUCUAAAGUGAAAGAUGGUUUUGCUAUCACUUAUAGAUGGACCCGCGCCGUAUUAGCUAGUUGGUAAGGUAACGGCUUACCAAGGCGACGAUACGUAGCCGACCUGAGAGGGUGAUCGGCCACACUGGAACUGAGACACGGUCCAGACUCCUACGGGAGGCAGCAGUAGGGAAUCUUCCGCAAUGGGCGAAAGCCUGACGGAGCAACGCCGCGUGAGUGAUGAAGGGUUUCGGCUCGUAAAACUCUGUUAUUAGGGAAGAACAAAUGUGUAAGUAACUGUGCACGUCUUGACGGUACCUAAUCAGAAAGCCACGGCUAACUACGUG